GACGAACGCUGGCGGCGUGCUUAACACAUGCAAGUCGAACGAAGAGCGAUGGAAGCUUGCUUCUAUCAAUCUUAGUGGCGAACGGGUGAGUAACGCGUAAUCAACCUGCCCUUCAGAGGGGGACAACAGUUGGAAACGACUGCUAAUACCGCAUACGAUCUGACCUCGGCAUCGAGGAUAGAUGAAAGGUGGCCUCUAUUUAUAAGCUAUCACUGAAGGAGGGGAUUGCGUCUGAUUAGCUAGUUGGAGGGGUAACGGCCCACCAAGGCGAUGAUCAGUAGCCGGUCUGAGAGGAUGAACGGCCACAUUGGGAGUGAGACACGGCCCAGACUCCUACGGGAGGCAGCAGUGGGGAAUCUUCCGCAAUGGACGAAAGUCUGACGGAGCAACGCCGCGUGAGUGAUGACGGCCUUCGGGUUGUAAAGCUCUGUUAAUCGGGACGAAAGG
RNAcentral lists this ribosomal RNA (447 nucleotides) under Veillonella parvula. Its description in RNAcentral is "bacterial SSU rRNA". It matches the Rfam family "Bacterial small subunit ribosomal RNA", at positions 28 to 452 of the family's 1533-position model. The record is from RNAcentral. Lineage: Bacteria; Bacillati; Bacillota; Negativicutes; Veillonellales; Veillonellaceae.